GCGGGAGUGUCCGAGUUGGUCAAAGGAGCUGGGCUUAGGACCCAGUGGCGUAGGCCUGCAUGGGUUCGAAACCCAUCUCCCGCACCA
This 87-nucleotide transfer RNA is filed under the name Candidatus Helarchaeota archaeon. RNAcentral's name for it is "tRNA-Leu". It matches the Rfam family "tRNA". From Rfam's summary of the family: Transfer RNA (tRNA) molecules are approximately 80 nucleotides in length. The record is from RNAcentral. Lineage: Archaea; Promethearchaeati; Candidatus Helarchaeota.